ACGGCUCAGUAACACGUGGAUAACCUGCCCUUGGGUCUGGGAUAACCCCGGGGAACUGGGGAUAAUACCGGAUAACGCAUAUAUGCUGGAAUGCUUUAUGCGUAAAAUGGAUUCGUCUGCCCAAGGAUGGGUCUGCGGCCUAUCAGGUAGUAGUGGGUGUAAUGUACCUACUAGCCUACAACGGGUACGGGUUGUGAGAGCAAGAGCCCGGAGAUGGAUUCUGAGACAUGAAUCCAGGCCCUACGGGGCGCAGCAGGCGCGAAAACUUUACAAUGCGGGAAACCGUGAUAAGGGGACACCGAGUGCCAGCAUCAUAUGCUGGCUGUCCAGAUGUGUAAAAUACAUCUGUUAGCAAGGGCCGGGCAAGACCGGUGCCAGCCGCCGCGGUAACACCGGCGGCCCGAGUGGUGAUCGUGAUUAUUGGGUCUAAAGGGUCCGUAGCCGGUUUGGUCAGUCCUCCGGGAAAUCUGAUGGCUCAACCAUUAGGCUUUCGGGGGAUACUGCCAGGCUUGGAACCGGGAGAGGUAAGAGGUACUACAGGGGUAGGAGUGAAAUCUUGUAAUCCCUGUGAGACCACCUGUGGCGAAGGCGUCUUACCAGAACGGGUUCGACGGUGAGGGACGAAAGCUGGGGGCACGAACCGGAUUAGAUACCCGGGUAGUCCCAGCCGUAAACGAUGCUCGCUAGGUGUCAGGCAUGGCGCGACCGUGUCUGGUGCCGCAGGGAAGCCGUGAAGCGAGCCACCUGGGAAGUACGGCCGCAAGGCUGAAACUUAAAGGAAUUGGCGGGGGAGCAC
This 796-nucleotide ribosomal RNA is filed under the name uncultured Methanosarcina sp. RNAcentral's name for it is "bacterial SSU rRNA". It matches the Rfam family "Archaeal small subunit ribosomal RNA", at positions 85 to 879 of the family's 1478-position model. Lineage: Archaea; Methanobacteriati; Methanobacteriota; Methanomicrobia; Methanosarcinales; Methanosarcinaceae. The record is from RNAcentral.